GCAUAUCAAUAAGCGGAGGAAAAGAAACCAACAGGGAUUGCUCUAGUAACGGCGAGUGAAGCAGCAAUAGCUCAAAUUUGAAAUCUGGCGUCUUCGACGUCCGAGUUGUAAUUUGUAGAGGAUGCUUCUGAGUAACCACCGACCUAAGUUCCUUGGAACAGGACGUCAUAGAGGGUGAGAAUCCCGUAUGCGGUCGGAAAGGUGCUCUAUACGUAGCUCCUUCGACGAGUCGAGUUGUUUGGGAAUGCAGCUCUAAAUGGGAGGUAAAUUUCUUCUAAAGCUAAAUAUUGGCCAGAGACCGAUAGCGCACAAGUAGAGUGAUCGAAAGAUGAAAAGCACUUUGGAAAGAGAGUUAAAAAGCACGUGAAAUUGUUAAAAGGGAAGGGAUUGCAACCAGACUUGCUCGCGGUGUUCCGCCGGUCUUCUGACCGGUCUACUCGCCGCGUUGCAGGCCAGCAUCGUCUGGUGCCGCUGGAUAAGACUUGAGGAAUGUAGCUCCCUCGGGAGUGUUAUAGCCUCUUGUGAUGCAGCGAGCGCCGGGCGAGGUCCGCGCUUCGGCUAGGAUGCUGGCGUAAUGGUCGUAAUCCGCCCGUCUUGAAACACGGACCAAGGAGUCUAACAUCUAUGCGAGUGUUCGGGUGUCAAACCCCUACGCGUAAUGAAAGUGAACGGAGGUGAGAACCGCAAGGUGCAUCAUCGACCGAUCCUGAUGUCUUCGGAUGGAUUUGAGUAAGAGCAUAGCUGUUGGGACCCGAAAGAUGGUGAACUAUGCCUGAAUAGGGUGAAGCCAGAGGAAACUCUGGUGGAGGCUCGCAGCGGUUCUGACGUGCAAAUCGAUCGUCAAAUUUGGGUAUAGGGGCGAAAGACUAAUCGAACCAUCUAGUAGCUGGUUCCUGCG
Molecule: ribosomal RNA, 898 nt
Filed under: Cladosporium herbarum
Lineage: Eukaryota; Fungi; Ascomycota; Dothideomycetes; Cladosporiales; Cladosporiaceae
Description: LSU rRNA
Rfam family: Eukaryotic large subunit ribosomal RNA
Source: RNAcentral